CGUUCUUCCGUACUUGCUCCGGCAAAAUUGGAACGAUAGAGAGAAGAUUAAGCAUGACCCCCUGCGCAAGGAAUGGCACGCAGGUUCGUGAAGCGUUCCGUUUUUUU
Petromyzon marinus (sea lamprey) is the source of this 107-nucleotide small nuclear RNA. Lineage: Eukaryota; Metazoa; Chordata; Hyperoartia; Petromyzontiformes; Petromyzontidae. The record is from RefSeq and is a predicted model, not a curated record.